Long non-coding RNA from Strigops habroptila (Kakapo), 1986 nucleotides. NCBI's taxonomy places the organism in Eukaryota, Metazoa, Chordata, Aves, Psittaciformes, Psittacidae. The record is from Ensembl.
GCCAAUAAUUAGCCGCAGAACUAGUGUUGGCAACAGGGUUUUGGGUUCUAUGUUUGUUUGCACAUAAGUGUCUGCUUGGGAGAGGUGUGAUCCACCUCACUAUGUAGGACAAAGCUAUUUUUGCCAAUAGGAUGGCUGAUUUCAUCAGGAGAGCUUUAAACCAAGAAUGACAGGGGAGGGACAGAGGGAUGGAGUGACAGGUUAGCUGAGCAAAGGGCAUGGGGGGUGUGAUGGAAGGGGAUCAUGAAAUCAACAAAAUAGGUCUUAAGCAGGGUCAUUUCCAGCACUUGGAUGUAAGCAAGGAAGUGCGUAGAAGUCACCAUUAUGGAGAAAUCCCCAAGCCCUUUCUAGGAAGUCAACAUGCUGAAAUGCCUCUGUGAAGUGUCGGGAGAAGGCAAUAAAGAUGGUGAAGGUACCAGAGCACCUCUCAUAUGAUGAAGAGACUGGGAGAGCUACGCCUGUUUAUCCUAGAGAAGAGAAGGCUCAGGGGGAUCUGAUCAAUGUAUAUAGAUACCUGAAGGGAGGGUGCAAAGAGGACAGAGACAGGCUCUUUUCAGUGAUUCCCAGUGACAGGACCAGAGGCAAUGGGCACAAACUGGAACAGGAGGUUCCCUCUGAAUAUCAGGAAACACUUUUCUACUGUGAGGGUGACUGAGCACUGGCACAGGUUGGCCGGAGAGGUUGUGGAGUCUCCAUCCUUGGAGAUACUCAAAAGCCAUCGGGACAUGGUCUUGGACAACUGGCUUUAGGUGGCCCUGCUUGAGCAGGGCAGUUGGACCAGAUGACUUUGGAGGCCCCUUCCAACCUCAAUCAUUCUGUGAUUCUUCCUUGAAGUGAUGCUGUACUAGUAGCCAUAUACCAUAAUGUUUCUGUCACCAAGUUUGUCAGCUCUUCAAACUCGAACUGAUUAUAUAUGAAUACAUAGAUAUAGAUAUGUAAAAGGAAUGGGAAGGCAUGUGUCCUUUUUCCUUUUGCUACCUUUCAACAAUGCCUGCAACAGUGAUUCUUUGCCAUGAAAGACUUCUGAGAUGAAAGUGCUUCUUGUGGAAUGAUAUUUCCCAUGUUUGUGGGAAAAGGAGGAAGUAUUUAAGGAUAUUAUUAUCACUUUAUCUAUUUGCAUCCAGAAAACAACUUGUUUUUUUCAAGUCUGCUGUGUUUAAGAAUAUUUAACAGUAGAAGCUGCUACCUUGAGCUUAAUGUAGACUUGCUUUAAAAUUCAGAGAAGGAUGUCUCCUUCAAGGCUCGUGUUUGAAAUGGAAAAUAUUUUGAUAAAUGUAGAAUAUUCAAAAUAGCUGCUAAAUUCACCAAAAAUAUGGAAAGAGCCUGCUUUUAUAGCUCAAAGUUGCUCAUUUUUCAUCUUAAACAGAGAUACGCAUUUGUAAUACCACACAAUGUAACUACCCCUCUUGUGUAAGAAUCAGAAAACUUCUGGUUUUGUAACUGGUGACAGAGGGAGACUCUAUAAAAUAAGGGGUAUGUGUGUGAAUAAAAGAUUAUUACCAUCUAUUUAUCGAAAUGGAAAGGAGCACAGUUUUCACCUGAAAGUCAGUUUUGUGGUGAUCGUUCAUAAGAGAAGCAAGGGUCCAUUGCACAGAUAAGAAGAUGGACCAUAGAAAUAGAAUGUGAAUUAACCUGUCUCUCAGCACGUCACUUCGGUAUCUGGCAAUAAACCCAGAUGUUUUACCAGGUGUGUUCCAAGUCCCAUCUUUGCCCAGAGGAAUGAGAUGCAAUACGUGGUACUAAAAGCUGCACCAGAAAGUAGCUUUCUGUUAAGAUUUAGCAGUAUGUUUAUUAGUAGCAAAUUCAUUUUAAUAAGAAUCAUGCUUCCCAAUGAAAUGGUUGUGGUAUUUCCACUAAUUGUACCCAAAUAUUUUCUUCAUCUUUGAAUGUUACAAUUCAGACACUGUAUUUCUUUGAGUGCAAAACUUUGUAUUGUCAAAUCCUGUAUGUUUUCUGAGUGCUUUUGAGAUUAUACUGUGGCAGCAA